CCUGAAAUUUUUCUGGGUUUCAGCACCGUUGUGAC
This 35-nucleotide small RNA is filed under the name Bombyx mori (domestic silkworm). RNAcentral describes it as "ovarian small RNA-14054". Lineage: Eukaryota; Metazoa; Arthropoda; Insecta; Lepidoptera; Bombycidae. The record is from RNAcentral.